UAGGGAAUCUUGCGCAAUGGGGGAAACCCUGACGCAGCAACGCCGUGUGUGUGAGGAAGCCUUUCGGGGUGUAAAGCACUGUCAAGAGAGAAAAAGGAGUAGGGUCUAAUAGGCCUUGCUUUUGAUGGUAUCUCUGAAGGAAGCACCGGCUAACUUCGUGCCAGCAGCCGCGGUAAUACGAGGGUGCAAGCGUUGUUCGGAAUCAUUGGGCGUAAAGGGCGCGUAGGCGGUUUGGUAAGUCAGGUGUGAAAGCCUCAUGCUUAACAUGGGAAGUGCGCCUGAAACUACCAAACUCGAGUCCCGGAGGGGAGAGCAGAAUUCCGCAUGUAGAGGUGAAAUUCGUAGAUAUG
RNAcentral lists this ribosomal RNA (350 nucleotides) under uncultured bacterium. RNAcentral describes it as "bacterial SSU rRNA". It matches the Rfam family "Bacterial small subunit ribosomal RNA", at positions 355 to 698 of the family's 1533-position model. The record is from RNAcentral.